UACGUAGGGUGCGAGCGUUAAUCGGAAUUACUGGGCGUAAAGUGUGCGCAGGCGGCCGCGCAAGUCGAGUGUGAAAUCCCCGAGCUUAACUUGGGAAUUGCGCUCGAAACUACGUGGCUGGAGUGUGGCAGAGGAAGGUGGAAUUCCACGUGUAGCGGUGAAAUGCGUAGAUAUGUGGAGGAACACCGAUGGCGAAGGCAGCCUUCUGGGCCAACGCUGACGCUCAUGCACGAAAGCGUGGGGAGCAAACAGG
RNAcentral lists this ribosomal RNA (253 nucleotides) under uncultured bacterium. RNAcentral describes it as "partial 16S ribosomal RNA". It matches the Rfam family "Bacterial small subunit ribosomal RNA", at positions 524 to 776 of the family's 1533-position model. The record is from RNAcentral.